RNAcentral lists this ribosomal RNA (509 nucleotides) under uncultured bacterium. RNAcentral's name for it is "partial 16S ribosomal RNA". It matches the Rfam family "Bacterial small subunit ribosomal RNA", at positions 38 to 536 of the family's 1533-position model. The record is from RNAcentral.
GACGAACGCUGGCGGCGUGCUUAACACAUGCAAGUCGAACGGAAAGGCCCUGCUUUUGUGGGGUGCUCGAGUGGCGAACGGGUGAGUAACACGUGAGUAACCUGCCCUUGACUUUGGGAUAACUUCAGGAAACUGGGGCUAAUACCGGAUAGGAGCUCCUGCUGCAUGGUGGGGGUUGGAAAGUUUCGGCGGUUGGGGAUGGACUCGCGGCUUAUCAGCUUGUUGGUGGGGUAGUGGCUUACCAAGGCUUUGACGGGUAGCCGGCCUGAGAGGGUGACCGGCACCAUGUGGAUGCACACCCGCCCAGUCUUCCUACGGCAGGCAGCUGUGGGUACUUUUUCGCCUUGGGCCGAACCCUGAGGCAGCACCGCCGCCUGCGUGGUGCCUCCCUUUGGUUUGUCCUCCCCUUCCGCCUGGGACGAGGAGUGCUUGCCGGUAAUGGGUAAGAACGCCCCGGCCACCUCCGUCCCAGCCGCCGCGUUAAUUAUCGGAAGAGCACACAUCCUACC